This 492-nucleotide ribosomal RNA is filed under the name uncultured bacterium. RNAcentral's name for it is "partial 16S ribosomal RNA". It matches the Rfam family "Bacterial small subunit ribosomal RNA", at positions 29 to 506 of the family's 1533-position model. The record is from RNAcentral.
ACGCACGCUGGCGGCGUGCUUAACACCUGCAAGUCGAACGGUGAAGCGCCUUCCUUUUUGGUGGGUGUGGAUGAGUGGCGAACGGGUGAGUAACACGUGAGUAACCUGCCCCCUUCUUCUGGAUAACCGCAUGAAAGUGUGGCUAAUACGGGAUAUUCUGGGUCUGUCGCAUGAUGGGUCUGGGAAAGAUAUUGUUUCGGUGGGGGAUGGGCUCGCGGCCUAUCAGCUUGUUGGUGGGGUGAUGGCCUACCAAGGCGGUGACGGGUAGCCGGCCUGAGAGGGUGGACGGUCACACUGGGACUGAGACACGGCCCAGACUCCUACGGGAGGCAGCAGUGGGGAAUAUUGCACAAUGGGCGCAAGCCUGAUGCAGCGACGCCGCGUGAGGGAUGGAGGCCGUCGGGUUGUGAACCUCUUUCGCCAGUGAAGCAGGCCUGCCUCGUUUGUGGGUGGGUUGACGGGAGCUGGAUAAGAAGCGCCGGCUAACUACGU